Molecule: ribosomal RNA, 624 nt
Filed under: Enterobacter sp.
Lineage: Bacteria; Pseudomonadati; Pseudomonadota; Gammaproteobacteria; Enterobacterales; Enterobacteriaceae
Description: bacterial SSU rRNA
Rfam family: Bacterial small subunit ribosomal RNA
Source: RNAcentral
UGCAAGUCGAGCGGUAGCACAGGGAGCUUGCUUCUGGGUGACGAGCGGCGGACGGGUGAGUAAUGUGUGGGAAACUGCCUGAGGGAGGGGGAUAACUACUGGGAACGGUAGCUAAUACCGCAUAACGUCGCAAGACCCAAGAGGGGGACCUUCGGGCCUCUUGCCAUCAAAUGUGCCCACAUGGGAUUAGCUAUUAGGUGGGGUAAUGGCUCACCUAUGCGACAAUCCCUAUCUGGGCUGAGAGGAUGACCACCCACACUGGAACUGAGACACGGUCCACACUCCUACGGGAGGCAGCAGUGGGGAAUAUUGCACAAUGGGCGCAAGCCUGAUGCACCCAUGCCGCGUGUAUGAAAAAAGCCUUUUGGUUGUAAAGUACUUUCAGCGAGGAGGAAAGCAUUGUGGUUAAUAACCGCAGUGAUUGACGUUACUCUCACAAAAAACACCGGCUAACUCCGUGCCACCAGCCGCGGUAAUACGGAGGGUGCAAGCGUUAAUCGGAAUUACUGGGCGUAAAGCGCACGCACGCGGUCUGUCAAGUCGGAUGUGAAAUCCCCGGGCUCAACCUGGGAACUGCAUUCUAAACUGGCAGGCUAUAGUCUUGUAGAGGGGGGUAGAAUUCCA